CGAACGGGUGAGUAACGCGUGAGGAACCUGCCUCAAAGAGGGGGACAACAGUUGGAAACGACUGCUAAUACCGCAUAAGCCCACGGCUCGGCAUCGAGCAGAGGGAAAAGGAGUGAUCCGCUUUGGGAUGGCCUCGCGUCCGAUUAGCUAGUUGGUGAGGUAACGGCCCACCAAGGCGACGAUCGGUAGCCGGACUGAGAGGUUGAACGGCCACAUUGGGACUGAGAUACGGCCCAG
This 237-nucleotide ribosomal RNA is filed under the name uncultured bacterium. RNAcentral describes it as "partial 16S ribosomal RNA". It matches the Rfam family "Bacterial small subunit ribosomal RNA", at positions 99 to 334 of the family's 1533-position model. The record is from RNAcentral.